RNAcentral lists this ribosomal RNA (433 nucleotides) under uncultured bacterium. Its description in RNAcentral is "partial 16S ribosomal RNA". It matches the Rfam family "Bacterial small subunit ribosomal RNA", at positions 29 to 507 of the family's 1533-position model. The record is from RNAcentral.
AGCGAACGCUGGCGGCAGGCCUAACACAUGCAAGUCGAACGAACUCUUCGGAGUUAGUGGCGGACGGGUGAGUAACACGCGGGAACGUGCCUUUAGGUUCGGAAUAACUCAGGGAAACUUGUGCUAAUACCGAAUGUGCCCUUCGGGGGAAAGAUUUAUCGCCUUUAGAGCGGCCCGCGUCUGAUUAGCUAGUUGGUGAGGUAAAGGCUCACCAAGGCGACGAUCAGUAGCUGGUCUGAGAGGAUGAUCAGCCACAUUGGGACUGAGACACGGCCCAAACUCCUACGGGAGGCAGCAGUGGGGAAUCUUGCGCAAUGGGCGAAAGCCUGACGCAGCCAUGCCGCGUGAAUGAUGAAGGUCUUAGGAUUGUAAAAUUCUUUUACCGGGGACGAUAAUGACGGUACCCGGAGAAGAAGCCCCGGCUAACUUCGUG